This 234-nucleotide unclassified non-coding RNA is filed under the name uncultured fungus. RNAcentral describes it as "sequence contains ITS2". Lineage: Eukaryota; Fungi. The record is from RNAcentral.
AACGCACAUUGCGCCCCUUGGUAUUCCGGGGGGCAUGCCUGUUCGAGCGUCAUUAUAACCCUCAAGCCUGGCUUGGUGUUGGGGCAUGCUUCUGCAGCCCUUAAAACUAGUGGCAGUGCCUGUCGGCUCUAAGCGUAGUAAUACUCCUCGCUAUAGUUCCCGGCAGAUAUGCGCCAGAACCCCUAAUUUUCUAUGGUUGACCUCGGAUCAGGUAGGGAUACCCGCUGAACUUAA